Molecule: ribosomal RNA, 433 nt
Filed under: uncultured bacterium
Lineage: Bacteria
Description: partial 16S ribosomal RNA
Rfam family: Bacterial small subunit ribosomal RNA
Source: RNAcentral
AACGAACGCUGGCGGCAUGCCUAACACAUGCAAGUCGAACGAGACCUUCGAGUCUAGUGGCGCACGGGUGCGUAACGCGUGGGAACCUGCCCUUAGGUUCGGAAUAACUCCCCGAAAGGGGUGCUAAUACCGGAUAAUGUCUUCGGACCAAAGAUUUAUCGCCUUUGGAUGGGCCCGCGUUGGAUUAGCUAGUUGGUAGGGUAAAAGCCUACCAAGGCGACGAUCCAUAGCUGGUCUGAGAGGAUGCUCAGCCACACUGGGACUGAGACACGGCCCAGACUCCUACGGGAGGCAGCAGUGGGGAAUAUUGGACAAUGGGCGAAAGCCUGAUCCAGCAAUGCCGCGUGAGUGAUGAAGGCCUUAGGGUUGUAAAGCUCUUUUACCCGGGAUGAUAAUGACAGUACCGGGAGAAUAAGCUCCGGCUAACUCCGUG